CCUACGGGAGGCAGCAGUGGGGAAUUUUGGACAAUGGGCGCAAGCCUGAUCCAGCCAUGCCGCGUGUGGGAAGAAGGCCUUCGGGUUGUAAACCACUUUUGUCAGGGAAGAAACGGCUCUUACUAAUAUUAGGGGCUAAUGACGGUACCUGAAGAAUAAGCACCGGCUAACUACGUGCCAGCAGCCGCGGUAAUACGUAGGGUGCAAGCGUUAAUCGGAAUUACUGGGCGUAAAGCGUGCGCAGGCGGCUUUGCAAGACAGAUGUGAAAUCCCCGGGCUCAACCUGGGAACUGCAUUUGUGACUGCAUGGCUAGAGUACGGUAGAGGGGGAUGGAAUUCCGCGUGUAGCAGUGAAAUGCGUAGAUAUGCGGAGGAACACCGAUGGCGAAGGCAAUCCCCUGGACCUGUACUGACGCUCAUGCACGAAAGCGUGGGGAGCAAACAGGAUUAGAUACCCUGGUAGUCCACGCCCUAAACGAUGUCAACUGGUUGUUGGACGGCUUGCUGUUCAGUAACGAAGCUAACGCGUGAAGUUGACCGCCUGGGGAGUACGGCCGCAAGGUUGAAACUCGAAAGGAAUUGACGG
Molecule: ribosomal RNA, 586 nt
Filed under: uncultured bacterium
Lineage: Bacteria
Description: bacterial SSU rRNA
Rfam family: Bacterial small subunit ribosomal RNA
Source: RNAcentral